Molecule: long non-coding RNA, 307 nt
Filed under: Malus domestica (apple)
Lineage: Eukaryota; Viridiplantae; Streptophyta; Magnoliopsida; Rosales; Rosaceae
Description: long non-coding RNA (MDOM_LNC002152)
Source: RNAcentral
ACUACGGUUACCCGACGAUGACGCUGGAGGAGCUGGCCGCUGCCACGUUCAGCCCGCUCAAGAACGCUGAUUUCAACCGUACGAUCGUCGAGCGCGGGGUCGAUCUGGCGGACCUGGGGUGUCUCCCGCUUUCCACGGGGUGGUACGGCGGGGCCGACGAGAACAGGAGGUUGAUUAAGGUGCAGUGCUAUUCCACCAAAGAUACUGUGAACUUCUACAUGCGUCCAAUCGAAGGGUUAACUGUUCUCGUUGACUUGGACACCCAACAGGUGGUGGAGAUUUCGGAUAAGGGCAGGGGCAUCCCCAU